RNAcentral lists this ribosomal RNA (253 nucleotides) under uncultured bacterium. RNAcentral's name for it is "partial 16S ribosomal RNA". It matches the Rfam family "Bacterial small subunit ribosomal RNA", at positions 524 to 776 of the family's 1533-position model. The record is from RNAcentral.
UACGUAGGGUGCAGGCGUUAAUCGGAAUUACUGGGCGUAAAGCGUGCGCAGGCGGUUUCUUAAGUCAGAUGUGAAAGCCCCGGGCUUGACCUGGGAACUGCGUUUGAAACUGGGAGACUUGAGUGUGGCAGAGGGGGGUGGAAUUCCACGUGUAGCAGUGAAAUGCGUAGAUAUGUGGAGGAACACCGAUGGCGAAGGCAGCCCCCUGGGUUAACACUGACGCUCAUGCACGAAAGCGUGGGGAGCAAACAGG